RNAcentral lists this ribosomal RNA (245 nucleotides) under uncultured bacterium. Its description in RNAcentral is "partial 16S ribosomal RNA". It matches the Rfam family "Bacterial small subunit ribosomal RNA", at positions 524 to 768 of the family's 1533-position model. The record is from RNAcentral.
UACGAAGGGGGCUAGCGUUGCUCGGAAUCACUGGGCGUAAAGGGCGCGUAGGCGGCUGAUUUAGUCGAGGGUGAAAGCCCGUGGCUCAACCACGGAAUGGCCUUCGAUACUGGUUGGCUUGAGACCGGAAGAGGACAGCGGAACUGCGAGUGUAGAGGUGAAAUUCGUAGAUAUUCGCAAGAACACCAGUGGCGAAGGCGGCUGUCUGGUCCGGUUCUGACGCUGAGGCGCGAAAGCGUGGGGAG